This 73-nucleotide transfer RNA is filed under the name Ailuropoda melanoleuca (giant panda). It matches the Rfam family "tRNA". Rfam says of the family: Transfer RNA (tRNA) molecules are approximately 80 nucleotides in length. Their secondary structure includes four short double-helical elements and three loops (D, anti-codon, and T loops). The record is from Rfam by way of RNAcentral. Lineage: Eukaryota; Metazoa; Chordata; Mammalia; Carnivora; Ursidae.
ACCUAGCUGGCUCAGUCAGUGGAGCAUGCAACUCUUGAUCUCAAGGUUGUGGGUUCAAGCCCCACAUUGGGUA